RNAcentral lists this unclassified non-coding RNA (1687 nucleotides) under Leishmania donovani. Its description in RNAcentral is "gene:LdHU3.21.1490(CDS-product:dynein_arm_light_c hain_putative)". Lineage: Eukaryota; Euglenozoa; Kinetoplastea; Trypanosomatida; Trypanosomatidae. The record is from RNAcentral.
CGCAUACAUGCGCGCGCAGUCACAGCGCAGAGCAAGUUGCUUCUUCUGCCCUCCUCUUUCCUUAAACGGCCACACCCACACCUACAUACACCACUACACCGCUUGGGCUACUCACUGGCGGGGAUCGGGCGAUGCCAUCUAUGUGCGCCGCGCCGCCUGCGCCCCGAUCAUCCUCGUCGACGGCAGCGGUGGCAAUGAGGACGGGCAGCAAUCGCCGCCACAACAACGGCAACACUGGCGCUAAGAUCGAAUCGAAUAGCGCCAGUGUAGCCGAUCUGCAGGAGGCAAUCCUGCAGCUGCUUCCACGACGCGCUAGCGAGGAGGAUGCCGCGGCGUACAUCGACGUGAGCGGCCCAGUAGACGCCAACCAGACGCUCAUCCGCUACGAUAUCCCCUACGCGCCCGGUGACCCGAAGCGUUCGCUGAAGCUGCGCAAGAGUCUCGGCCUAGGGGCCGAGGAGCGCGUCGUCGACCCGAACGUGCGCGUCGUCAUUGACAGCUUCAUCACGCCGCGUCGAUGGGUGGAUUCGUCGACGGGGGUGGUUUGGGUGCAGCACGCUAGCCCGUUUCCGUCCUCUCGUAUCGACGCCGCGGAGACGCAGGAGCGCCUGCACGCCCAACUCGAGGCUCACCAGGCGCGCCGCACCGGCACCAGCCCCAUCCGUUCGCUCCUUGUCGCCGAGUGCAUGCUGGAGGUACUGCGCCAGGUGACGGCGGAGUGCUGGGAGCGUGGCUUGCUGCUGCUGCACGUACACUCGGAGCGGGUGGCAGCCCAGGCAGCACAUCGGCGCCUUUUUGAGAGUCGUGUCGGCCACGCCUUCCGUCUUGCCCUAAAGGGUGAGAAGGACGUGGCGAAGGUGGAGGAGGACAUGGCCGCGCUGAAGCAGCGCAUCGAGCUGCUCGGCCAGGAAGAGGCCGACCUGCGACGCCUGUGCAGCGAGUUCGAGCGGCGCGCCGAGGAGCAGGUGCUCAUCGCGAACAAGGAGCACAACGACGCCCUUACAAAGCUGAAGCGGGAGGGCGUGCAGAAGCGUGCACAGUUAGAGCAGCAGCUGGUGAUUCCAGCGAACUUGCAGUAGUUGGAAGAGACGGAGGGCCGUGCGGGUGUGGGUGAGGGGGGGGGGGAGAGGCCAGAGGAGGGCCGCAGGAGAGGGGGGUCAGGGGAGAGGCGUGCGAGGGUCCCUCACCUAAAGCGCCGCUCCACGUCGCUUGCUCUACCUUUCGCCUCGUCAGCUCUUCUCCUGCCAACUCCGCUAGCACCACCUCCUUUGCGGCUGUCGAGAACUCGCUCUUCGCGUUUUUUUUACUUGACGGCGCUCCUCAUCCGACAUGCGCGGCAAGAGAAGCGGGAGGGGGUGAGAGCCUCCGCUGCAAAAGCAAAUGUUGCGGGGGGUAGGACAGGGUAGUCACUGCGCGGGGCGGAGGUGGAGAGACGGCGCAGCCCGCCCUUCCUCCCUCCUCCUUCCCCCCCCCCCCACACACACAGUUUUGCAGCCGACGAGAUUAUACCACACCAUGCCAUCCAGCAUACUCGAUGUACGACAGCAGCAGGAUGUGCCCCAGCGCUUCAUCCUGUGUUUCUUAUUUUCGGACGCUCACCACCACCCUAGUUGUUUGCGCGGCUCAUUUUCGAAAGGUGGGGGAGGUCUCGGGCCUUCGCCAGCAAGCCUCCACUACCGCGAAAACG